GUGUGCUUUCAGUACGUGUGGGACCUGAUGCUGGGGGGCUCCUAGCACAAGAACAACUGGACGCGAGAGGGAGUGUCUGUGCCUCAUCGCCACCCUCAACGCAUAUGGCGCCCAGGGUCUCACCCUCAGCAAGAUCGUCCCCCACAUAUGCAGCCUUUUAGGAGACCCCACCAGCCAGGUGAGAGAUGCAGCCAUGACGUGUCUGGUGGAGAUCUACAGGCACGUGGGGGAGAGGGUGAGGACGGACCUCAGCAAGAAGGGACUCCCCCAAUCAAGGUACUAACAAGACAUGGAGACGCAAGUGUGUGUGUGUGGUUGUGUUGGUUGUGUUGGUGUGUGAGUGGUUGUGUGGUUGUGCGCACGGUUAUUGAUUCACACAGGUGGCUCACUGUGAAGUAUUCAUAGCAUUUCAGCACAGUGUCAUUCCGGUAGCAGCAUGCAUCAUUUGCCUGUCAAUAAAUUGAUGUGAACCGAAGAGCUAGAUAGACUUUAGACUUUAGCAACCCCCUCCCCCUUGUUCACCACCAGCACAACC
Long non-coding RNA from Clupea harengus (Atlantic herring), 535 nucleotides. RefSeq lists it as uncharacterized. The transcript is spliced from 3 exons. The record is from RefSeq and is a predicted model, not a curated record. NCBI's taxonomy places the organism in Eukaryota, Metazoa, Chordata, Actinopteri, Clupeiformes, Clupeidae.